RNAcentral lists this ribosomal RNA (1168 nucleotides) under Vibrio parahaemolyticus. RNAcentral describes it as "partial 23S ribosomal RNA". It matches the Rfam family "Bacterial large subunit ribosomal RNA", at positions 613 to 1785 of the family's 2925-position model. The record is from RNAcentral. Lineage: Bacteria; Pseudomonadati; Pseudomonadota; Gammaproteobacteria; Vibrionales; Vibrionaceae.
UAAUGGGUCAGCGACUUAUAUUCAGUGGCAAGGUUAACCAUCUAGGGGAGCCGUAGGGAAACCGAGUCUUAACUGGGCGUUCAGUCUCUGGAUAUAGACCCGAAACCAGGUGAUCUAGCCAUGGGCAGGUUGAAGGUUGAGUAACAUCAACUGGAGGACCGAACCGACUAAUGUUGAAAAAUUAGCGGAUGACUUGUGGCUAGGGGUGAAAGGCCAAUCAAACCUGGAGAUAGCUGGUUCUCCCCGAAAGCUAUUUAGGUAGCGCCUCGGACGAAUACUACUGGGGGUAGAGCACUGUUAAGGCUAGGGGGUCAUCCCGACUUACCAACCCUUUGCAAACUCCGAAUACCAGUAAGUACUAUCCGGGAGACACACGGCGGGUGCUAACGUCCGUCGUGGAGAGGGAAACAACCCAGACCGCCAGCUAAGGUCCCAAAUUACUACUAAGUGGGAAACGAUGUGGGAAGGCUCAGACAGCCAGGAUGUUGGCUUAGAAGCAGCCAUCAUUUAAAGAAAGCGUAAUAGCUCACUGGUCGAGUCGGCCUGCGCGGAAGAUGUAACGGGGCUAAGUAGUAAACCGAAGCUGCGGCAAUAUACUUUUGUAUAUUGGGUAGGGGAGCGUUCUGUAAGCGGUUGAAGGUGUGUGGUAACGCAUGCUGGACGUAUCAGAAGUGCGAAUGCUGACAUGAGUAACGAUAAAGGGGGUGAAAAACCUCCUCGCCGGAAGACCAAGGGUUCCUGUCCAACGUUAAUCGGGGCAGGGUAAGUCGACCCCUAAGGCGAGGCCGAAAGGCGUAGUCGAUGGGAAACGGGUUAAUAUUCCCGUACUUCUUACAAUUGCGAUGGGGGGACGGAGAAGGCUAGGUGGGCCUGGCGACGGUUGUCCAGGUUCAAGUGCGUAGGCUUAAGAGUUAGGUAAAUCCGGCUCUUUCUAAGGCUGAGACACGACGUCGAGCACCUACGGGUGUGAAGUCAUUGAUGCCAUGCUUCCAGGAAAAGCCUCUAAGCUUCAGAUUGUAAGGAAUCGUACCCCAAACCGACACAGGUGGUCGGGUAGAGAAUACCAAGGCGCUUGAGAGAACUCGGGUGAAGGAACUAGGCAAAAUGGUACCGUAACUUCGGGAGAAGGUACGCUCUUGAUGGUGAAGUCCCUUGCGGAUGGAGCUGA